This is a non-coding RNA of Pelobates cultripes (western spadefoot toad), 88 nucleotides long. Lineage: Eukaryota; Metazoa; Chordata; Amphibia; Anura; Pelobatidae. The record is from the annotation of a GenBank genome assembly.
AUCCAUAACACGUUUCAUCUGUAUGGCUUUUUCAAAUUGAGUAAAAACUCUAUUUGAAAAAGCAAUACAGGUGAAAUGUGUUAUGGAU